RNAcentral lists this ribosomal RNA (508 nucleotides) under uncultured bacterium. Its description in RNAcentral is "partial 16S ribosomal RNA". It matches the Rfam family "Bacterial small subunit ribosomal RNA", at positions 28 to 523 of the family's 1533-position model. The record is from RNAcentral.
GAUGAACGCUAGCUACAGGCUUAACACAUGCAAGUCGAGGGGAAACGACAUCGAAAGCUUGCUUUUGAUGGGCGUCGACCGGCGCACGGGUGAGUAACGCGUAUCCAACCUGCCCACCACUUGGGGAUAACCUUGCGAAAGUAAGACUGAUACCCAAUGACGUCUCUAGAAGACAUCUGAAAGAGAUUAAAGAUUUAUCGGUGAUGGAUGGGGAUGCGUCUGAUUAGCUUGUUGGCGGGGUAACGGCCCACCAAGGCGACGAUCAGUAGGGGUUCUGAGAGGAAGGUCCCCCACAUUGGAACUGAGACACGGUCCAAACUCCUACGGGAGGCAGCAGUGAGGAAUAUUGGUCAAUGGGCGAGAGCCUGAACCAGCCAAGUAGCGUGCAGGAUGACGGCCCUAUGGGUUGUAAACUGCUUUUAUAAGGGAAAAAAGUGAGUCUCGUGAGACUUUUUGCAUGUACCUUAUGAAUAAGGACCGGCUAAUUCCGUGCCAGCCGCCGCCGUAA